RNAcentral lists this non-coding RNA (17 nucleotides) under Mus musculus (house mouse). The record is from RNAcentral. Lineage: Eukaryota; Metazoa; Chordata; Mammalia; Rodentia; Muridae.
GUGAGCUGUGUUUAAAA